RNAcentral lists this small RNA (688 nucleotides) under Pongo abelii (Sumatran orangutan). Its description in RNAcentral is "retained intron". The record is from RNAcentral. Lineage: Eukaryota; Metazoa; Chordata; Mammalia; Primates; Hominidae.
GUUGUCACCUCUAGAAGCUAGAAGAAAGGGAUGUGUUUCUCAGCUAUGUUAGGGCAGAGGAUUCUGGGAGCAAGGAGUUGGGCUUGCAGGCCUGUGUUCUUCCCUGGCCACACCCUCUACAUCUUCCCAAUAAAUGGCCCAGUGUCACAGAACAGGCAGGAAAUGAGGCCCCAACUCAGUCUGCUUCCUGAGUUGGGGGUGGUGAAGGGCAAGGUCCAGCCUUAUGAUUCCCACUCCCCAGGGCCAGCCAAGUCUCGGGAUGGUGAACGUACCGUCUAUUGCAACGUACACAAGCAUGAACCCCUUGUGCUGUUUUGUGAGAGCUGUGAUACUCUCACCUGCCGAGACUGCCAGCUCAAUGCCCACAAGGACCACCAGUACCAGUUCUUAGAGGAUGCAGUGAGGAACCAGCGCAAGCUCCUGGCCUCACUGGUGAAGCGCCUUGGGGACAAACAUGCAACAUUGCAGAAGAGCACCAAGGAGGUUCGCAGCUCGUAAGUGUGGGUUCUGGGGGCCAUGGGAGUGGCCCAGGGCAGCAAGACCCUACCUAGCCUGACCUGAUCUGUCCCCUAGGAUCCGCCAGGUGUCCGACGUACAGAAGCGUGUGCAAGUGGAUGUCAAGAUGGCCAUCCUGCAGAUCAUGAAGGAGCUGAAUAAGCGGGGCCGUGUGCUGGUCAACGAUGCCCAG